RNAcentral lists this unclassified non-coding RNA (290 nucleotides) under Hevea brasiliensis (rubber tree). Lineage: Eukaryota; Viridiplantae; Streptophyta; Magnoliopsida; Malpighiales; Euphorbiaceae. The record is from RNAcentral.
GGUGAUCCUGCUAUCGUUGAUAACCCGGAUAUUCCGAGCUACCAGCCUCACGUGCACGGGAGGUGUGAUCCUCCUGCUUUGAUUCCUCUUCAGAUGAACGGAAUUUCACUUGAAGCUGAUUGUUAUUUGGAUACGGCGUUCAUCACUGUUACAGGAUCAUGGCGUGUGCAUUGUGUCAUGGGUAGCCGUAGCUGUGACUGUCGUAUAGCUGUACCCAUGGGUGAACAGGGUUCAAUUCUAGGUGUCGAGGUUGAGUUACCCAGGAAAUCUUACAGCACUAAAAUAGUUAC